RNAcentral lists this ribosomal RNA (429 nucleotides) under uncultured bacterium. RNAcentral's name for it is "bacterial SSU rRNA". It matches the Rfam family "Bacterial small subunit ribosomal RNA", at positions 355 to 776 of the family's 1533-position model. The record is from RNAcentral.
CUAAGAAUAUUCCGCAAUGGACGAAAGUCUGACGGAGCGACGCCGCGUGGAUGACGAAGGCCGAAAGGUUGUAAAAUCCUUUUGUUGGGGAAGAAUAACCAUGGGAGGGAAUGCCCGUGGGAUGACAUGAACCGACGAAUAAGUCCCGGCUAACUACGUGCCAGCAGCCGCGGUAACACGUAGGGGACAAGCGUUAUUCGGAAUUACUGGGCGUAAAGGGCAUGUAGGCGGCCUUGUAAGCCUGGCGUGAAAGUCACCGGCUCAACCGGUGGAUUGCGUCGGGAACUGCAGGGCUUGAGUCAUGGAGAGGAAGGCAGAAUUCCUGGUGUAGGGGUGAAAUCUGUAGAGAUCAGGAAGAAUACCAGUGGCGAAGGCGGCCUUCUGGCCAAUGACUGACGCUGAGGUGCGAAAGUGUGGGGAUCAAACAGG